Molecule: ribosomal RNA, 253 nt
Filed under: uncultured bacterium
Lineage: Bacteria
Description: partial 16S ribosomal RNA
Rfam family: Bacterial small subunit ribosomal RNA
Source: RNAcentral
UACGGAGGGUGCAAGCGUUGUCCGGAUUUAUUGGGUUUAAAGGGUGCGUAGGCGGAUCUUUAAGUCUGUGGUGAAAGCCCAUCGCUCAACGAUGGAACUGCCAUGGAUACUGAAGAUCUUGAAUUCAGUUGAGGUAGGCGGAAUUGAUGGUGUAGCGGUGAAAUGCAUAGAUACCAUCAGGAACACCGAUUGCGAAGGCAGCUUACUGGACUUGAAUUGACGCUGAUGCACGAAAGCGUGGGGAGCGAACAGG